AUACGGAGGGGGUUAGCGUUGUUCGGAAUUACUGGGCGUAAAGCGUACGUAGGCGGAUCAGAAAGUAUAGGGUGAAAUCCCAGGGCUCAACCCUGGAACUGCCUUAUAAACUCCUGGUCUUGAGUUCGAGAGAGGUGAGUGGAAUUCCAAGUGUAGAGGUGAAAUUCGUAGAUAUUUGGAGGAACACCAGUGGCGAAGGCGGCUCACUGGCUCGAUACUGACGCUGAGGUACGAAAGUGUGGGGAGCAAACAGGAUUAGAAACCCUAGUAGUCC
This 274-nucleotide ribosomal RNA is filed under the name uncultured bacterium. RNAcentral's name for it is "partial 16S ribosomal RNA". It matches the Rfam family "Bacterial small subunit ribosomal RNA", at positions 523 to 796 of the family's 1533-position model. The record is from RNAcentral.